AAUAGAUACCCUGGUAGUCCAUGCCGUAAACGAUGUCUACUAGCCGUUGGGGCCCUUGAGGCUUUAGUGGCGCAGCUAACGCGAUAAGUAGACCGCCUGGGGAGUACGGUCGCAAGACUAAAACUCAAAUGAAUUGACGGGGGCCCGCACAAGCGGUGGAGCAUGUGGUUUAAUUCGAUGCAACGCGAAGAACCUUACCUGGCCUUGACAUACAGAGAACUUUCCAGAGAUGGAUUGGUGCCUUCGGGAACUCUGAUACAGGUGCUGCAUGGCUGUCGUCAGCUCGUGUCGUGAGAUGUUGGGUUAAGUCCCGCAACGAGCGCAACCCUUUUCCUUAUUUGCCAGCACUUCGGGUGGGAACUUUAAGGAUACUGCCAGUGACAAACUGGAGGAAGGCGGGGACGACGUCAAGUCAUCAUGGCCCUUACGGCCAGGGCUACACACGUGCUACAAUGGUCGGUACAAAGGGUUGCUACUGCGCGAGCAGAUGCUAAUCUCAAAAAGCCGAUCGUAGUCCGGAUCGC
Molecule: ribosomal RNA, 524 nt
Filed under: uncultured bacterium
Lineage: Bacteria
Description: bacterial SSU rRNA
Rfam family: Bacterial small subunit ribosomal RNA
Source: RNAcentral